RNAcentral lists this ribosomal RNA (613 nucleotides) under uncultured bacterium. RNAcentral describes it as "bacterial SSU rRNA". It matches the Rfam family "Bacterial small subunit ribosomal RNA", at positions 888 to 1498 of the family's 1533-position model. The record is from RNAcentral.
GCAAGAUUAAAACUCAAAGGAAUAGACGGGGACCCGCACAAGUGGUGGAGCAUGUGGUUUAUUUGGAAGAUACGCGAAGACCCUUACCUAGCCUUGACAUUGAUUGAACGGACCAGAGGUGGACCGGUGCCCUUCGGGGAACAUGAAAACAGGUGCUGCACGGCUGUCGUCAGCUCGUGUCGUGAGAUGUUGGGUUAAGUCCCGCAACGAGCGCAACCCUCGUCAAUAGUUGCCAGCAGGUUAAGCUGGGCACUCUAUUGAGACUGCCUUCGUAAGGAGGAGGAAGGUGAGGACGACGUCAAGUCAUCAUGGCCCUUAUGGCUAGGGCUACACACGUGCUACAAUGGGGCGUACAGAGAGUUGCGAUACCGCGAGGUGGAGCCAAUCUCAUAAAGCGUCUCUCAGUUCGGAUUGAAGUCUGCAACUCGACUUCAUGAAGCUGGAAUCACUAGUAAUCGUAGAUCAGCAAUGCUACGGUGAAUACGUUCCCGGGUCUUGUACUCACCGCCCGUCACACCAUGGGAGUUGAUUUCACCCGAAAUUGGGAAGCUAACCUUCGGGAGGCUACCACUUACGGUGGAAUUAGCGACUGGGGUGAAGUCGUAACAAGGUA